AACGAACGCUGGCGGCAUGCCUAACACAUGCAAGUCGAACGAAGUCUUCGGACUUAGUGGCGCACGGGUGCGUAACGCGUGGGAAUCUGCCCUUGGGUGCGGAAUAACUUCUCGAAAGGGAUGCUAAUACCGCAUAAUGUCGUAAGACCAAAGAUUUAUCGCCCAAGGAUGAGCCCGCGUAAGAUUAGCUAGUUGGUGGGGUAAAAGCCUACCAAGGCGACGAUCUUUAGCUGGUCUGAGAGGAUGAUCAGCCACACUGGGACUGAGACACGGCUCAGACUCCUACGGGAGGCAGCAGUGGGGAAUAUUGGACAAUGGGCGAAAGCCUGAUCCAGCAAUGCCGCGUGGGUGAUGAAGGCCCUAGGGUUGUAAAGCUCUUUUACCAGGGAUGAUAAUGACAGUACCUGGAGAAUAAGCCCCGGCUAACUCCGUGCCAGCAGCCGCGGUAAU
RNAcentral lists this ribosomal RNA (450 nucleotides) under uncultured bacterium. Its description in RNAcentral is "bacterial SSU rRNA". It matches the Rfam family "Bacterial small subunit ribosomal RNA", at positions 29 to 524 of the family's 1533-position model. The record is from RNAcentral.